This 360-nucleotide long non-coding RNA is filed under the name Zea mays. RNAcentral describes it as "long non-coding RNA (ZMAY_LNC004253)". The record is from RNAcentral. Lineage: Eukaryota; Viridiplantae; Streptophyta; Magnoliopsida; Poales; Poaceae.
GAUUGCAAGGUAUGCUCUUAAGAAAUUGCUUGGUCUGAGUAUGCUAGCUUCCUAUCCAUUUCUUGUUAGAAGAGAAAAUAGAGUAUUUUGUUACUGCUACCAGAUAAACAGCUUGGAAGAAAACCUGUUUAAGUAUCUCAGCUCCUCAAGUGUGAGAGAGUAUGGUGACGUUCUCGUUAAUCAUUCAGAAUCAUGGAAGUAAGAUGUGCAUCCAAUUUAAGGAAGUAGAGCGAUUUUGUUAGUUUGAUCCGUACCUAGAGAAGUGUCGGUCUGCAGCUGCUCCCAUGACAAACUCAGUUACGUUAUUAAGAGAGAUGAGCUCCUCAAGUCCUUCAGCUACAUCAUCCGUCUUGAUUAUUA